This 684-nucleotide ribosomal RNA is filed under the name uncultured organism. Its description in RNAcentral is "bacterial SSU rRNA". It matches the Rfam family "Bacterial small subunit ribosomal RNA", at positions 748 to 1420 of the family's 1533-position model. The record is from RNAcentral.
GAGGCACGAAGGCUGGGGGAUCGAACAGGAUUAGAUACCCUGGUAGUCCCAGCAGUAAACGAUGUGAGCUUGAUGUGGGGGGAUUCGACCCCUUCCGUGUCGAAGCUAACGCGAUAAGCUCACCGCCUGAGGAGUACGGCCGCAAGGCUAAAACUCAAAGAAAUUGACGGGGACCCGCACAAGCGGUGGAGUAUGUGGCUUAAUUCGAUGCAACGCGAAGAACCUUACCUGGCCUUGACAUGCAUUGUGUCGUCGGUGAAAGCCGGCUAGUCCUGGAAACAGGACGCUUUGCACAGGUGCUGCAUGGCUGUCGUCAGCUCGUGUCGUGAGAUGUUGGGUUAAGUCCCGCAACGAGCGCAACCCUUGUGGUCAGUUACUAACCGGCUUAACCGGAGGACUCUGGCCAGACUGCCCUGUCAAACGGGGAGGAAGGUGGGGACGACGUCAAGUCAGUAUGGCCCUUAUGGCCAGGGCUGCACACGUACUACAAUGCCCGGUACAAUGUGAACCGAAACCGCGAGGUGGAGGAAAUCGCUCUUGAAAACCGGGCCCAGUUCGGAUUGGAGUCUGCAACUCGACUCCAUGAAGUCGGAAUCGCUAGUAAUGGCGUAUCAGCAACGACGCCGUGAAUACGUUCCCGGGUCUUGUACACACCGCCCGUCACAUCAUGGAAGUCUCCUGUAC